RNAcentral lists this ribosomal RNA (443 nucleotides) under uncultured prokaryote. Its description in RNAcentral is "bacterial SSU rRNA". It matches the Rfam family "Bacterial small subunit ribosomal RNA", at positions 355 to 796 of the family's 1533-position model. The record is from RNAcentral.
UAGGGAAUAUUGGGCAAUGGUCGGAAGACUGACCCAGCCAUGCCGCGUGCAGGAAGACGGCGUUAUGCGUUGUAAACUGCUUUUAUACGGGAAGAAAAAGCCACUGCGGUGGAAAUUGCCGGUACCGUAUGAAUAAGCACCGGCUAACUCCGUGCCAGCAGCCGCGGUAAUACGGAGGGUGCAAGCGUUGUCCGGAUUUAUUGGGUUUAAAGGGUGCGUAGGCGGCCGAUUAAGUCAGCGGUGAAAGUUUUCGGCUCAACCGGAAAACUGCCAUUGAUACUGGUCGGCUUGAGUGUUGAUGGGGUACCUGGAAUUUAUGGUGUAGCGGUGAAAUGCAUAGAUACCAUAAGGAACACCGAUAGCGAAGGCAUGGUACUUAUCAACAACUGACGCUGAGGCACGAAAGCGUGGGUAGCGAACAGGAUUAGAUACCCCCGUAGUCC